GCCAACUCUCCGACACAAACCUCGCCGAGCAGCAUCAAAAACCCGUCCUAUUUCCCCUGCUCUCAUGGCGGGACCCUCGGAGAAAGAUCAAAACCCUACCGCCGAAGAAAAGAAAGAAGCUGAGGAAUCCGAAGAGAACGGCAAUAGAGGACGAGGAGGACGAGGAGAGAACGAGGACGAAAACGGAGGAGAGGAAGAAGAAUAUGAAGAGGAGGAGGAGGAAGGAGAGAGGAAGAGCGGGGGCGGGCCUCCGUCGGAGAGGGAGAAGGUGGAGCGCCUCUUGCGCCGCCUGUCGAGCGGGCCGGUGAGGCUCCGUGUCCACGACGUGGUGAUCAGGGGGAACGCCAAGACCAAGGACUCCCUGAUCGAGGCCGAGGUGCUCGACGCCUUCCGGUCGGCGUCCACGAUGCAGGAGCUCUUCCAGGCCGCCGGCGCCGCAAACGAGCGGCUCCGCCGGAUGGAUGUCUUCGAUUCGGUGAGCAUCACGCUUGAUGCUGGCCCCCCGGAGCUUCCUGGCACCGCUAAUGUCAUCAUCGAUGUAGCGGAGGCCAAGAAUCCACUCACCGGCGAUAUUGGCAUCCUCACGAAGCCCGAGGCUAGAUCUUGGUCACUUGAAGGAUCACUUAAGUUGAAAAAUUUAUCUGGCUACGGUGACAUUUGGGAUGCUUCUGGGGCUUAUGGCUGGGACCAAGCAUCAGAGAUAAGUGCUGGAUUGUCCUUGCCCAGAUUCAAAGCAAUAUCAACUCCUCUUAUGGCUCGAGUUUCAUUACUUUCUCAAGAUUGGUUGAAGUUUUCAUCAUAUAAAGAACAUCUUUUGGGCCUUUCUUUCGGUUUGCUUUCCACAACGCACCAUAACUUGGCUUACAAUCUUACGUGGCGUAACCUAACUGAUCCAAGUCGCACGGCAUCCAAGAUAGUAAGGAGGUUGUUAGGACAUAGUCUUCUCUCCUCGGUAAAAUACACGUAUAAGAUUGAUCGCAGAGAUUCACAUUUGAGACCAACUCGUGGAUAUGCUUUUCUUUCUACUACUCAAGUUGGUGGUCUUGGACCAUAUAGUAAAAGUUUACGAUUUAUUCGGCAGGAGUUUGAUCUUCGAGGCGCUUUUCACUUGGGAUUUUAUAACUCUGCAGCUGCUCUCAAUAUUGGAGUUGCAGCAGGUGCCAUUCUGCCAUGGGGAAGGGGAUUUAUGGACUUGCCUUCACCAUUGCCUGAGCGAUUCUACAUGGGUGGUCAUUCUUCUCCCGUCUGCAACUUGAGCGGGCCCACUUCCUUGUUAGGGUUCAGAACAAGAGGAUUAGGCCCGACUGACUCAAGAAGGUUCAUCGCUAGCAAAUCCGAUAAAGAUGAUUCCCCGGCCUCUUCUGAAAGGGAUGUCCUGGGAGGCGACCUUGCAGUUGCUGCCUUUGUCGAUCUUUCAUUUGACCUACCCUUUAAACUGUUCAGAGAAUCUGGAAUACAUGGUCAUGUAUUUAUCAAUGCUGGGAAUCUUGCUAAAUUGACAGAGAACACGUUCAAGGAUUUCUCAUUUUGGAACUUUGGGGAGUCAUUUAGAAGCUCUGCAGGAUUUGGCAUAAUAUUUCCCACAAAACUGUUCCGUAUGGAGAUAAACUACUGUUACAUACUGAAACAGUUUGGGCAUGACAAUGGAAAGACCGGCCUACAGUUUAACUUCUCCUCCCCAUGAUAGAAGCUUUCCGACUGAAGAGAUUCACUUUUCCAAUGCCAGAAAACUUACUUUUUUAUUGAUAAUUUUUGCACUUCAUCUCGAGGAGAAAACAAAUGAGUUGAAAGGAAUUUUACCCACAUAUGGUCGUACAAGGUGGCCUUUGUCAUCUUCUUCAGCCACUCUCAAUGCUCGAGUUUUCUUUGCUUUUUUUAUAUUUUGUCCUCGUUGUUGAGGUAUCAACUCUAUGAUCCAAAGGUAUACCUUGUCCGAUGGGUGAUUGAAAUACAAUGUUUUCCCUCAGAAACGAACAGAAAUAGCUUUUCCCCCUGAGGUGGAUGGGAAACUUUGACCAUAAGCUUUGGAAACUCGGGGUGCAUGGAGACCCUUUCUCUUCAUUUAGCCUAAGGUGAAGCAUACCUGCCAUGAUCCAUUGGUUUCAUUGUCCAUGAUCAGGAGGCUGUUAAAACCUGCGGUUCUAUCAUGCGAUCGGAGAUGCUCGAGGGAGUCAAAAAAGAUUAGUGCAUGGUGCCGUGAAUAAUUGCUUACACAGAUUUGGGCUCAGCAUCUACAGAAGAUAUGGAUGUAUUUAUUCUCGAUUGGUUGAAUAAAUUAAGUGUACAGAGAGAGAGAGAGAGAGAGGAUGAUCGAGGAUGUGUGAUUUUUUUUUUUUUAUUUUUAUUUUUUCUGGUGGUGCAUUAGUGCUCCAAAGAUGCAACAUAUAUAAAAGGUUCAAAGUUCUGCAUGAACCUAUUUCAGUACCAUCUA
Molecule: RNA transcript, 2431 nt
Organism: Phoenix dactylifera (date palm)
Lineage: Eukaryota; Viridiplantae; Streptophyta; Magnoliopsida; Arecales; Arecaceae
Source: RefSeq, a predicted model, not a curated record